AAUUCUUCCUCCAAUCCGGACGAAAAAUUCGCCGGAUUUGGGCGUGGGGAGCGCCAACGAGUGGGGAUGCUCUUAUGAGGGCGGAGGGUGGUGGUCUUGGUUUCCUAUUUCUGUCAGGUUAUGACGCCCAAUUAUGGAACUGUAAGAAAGAUUCUGAUGGUGUUGUUUCAUGGGCACUGACAAGAAAUAUUCAAUUGGGCAACCUACUUUCCCUCAAACCACGGAAGGAUAGACUGUCCCUAGUGAUAAAAGGGUUCGGUGAGCACAAUAAUGUGCUGUUUCUAGCAACACCUAUCGGCGAUUUCAUGGUUCAGCUUGAGUCUAUGCAGUUCAAGAAACUCUCUGAAGCCAACUUCGUGACUGUUUAUCAUCCAUUUGAAAGUGUCUAUACUGCAGAAACAGGCAGUGGCAGUGAACACGAUGGAGAUGGACUUUUGCACAAUGCAUAAGAUGUUUGUCUGGUCAGAUGUGCUAUUGUGUUGUAUUGGUUGAACAGGAUAUCUAGAGUCACAUUCCGGCUGCUGAGAUGCAGAAAUGGUUUGCUUGUUGCAGGUUCUUCCAUGUUGUGUAGCAUGCACCGGUCAGUGGUGAAGUGGAUUUGUACUUGUAGAAAAUAAUCAGUUAUUUUGUUAACUAUUAUGUCAAUUCUGCAGUGAUUAGUGAACUUGCACGAAGAUGCGACGACUUGCUUCGAUUAAUCUGUGCCUUUCAGUUCGUCUUGUUUUCAA
This is a long non-coding RNA of Lolium perenne, 728 nucleotides long. RefSeq lists it as uncharacterized. NCBI's taxonomy places the organism in Eukaryota, Viridiplantae, Streptophyta, Magnoliopsida, Poales, Poaceae. The record is from RefSeq and is a predicted model, not a curated record.